GGACCCGCACAAGUAGUGGAGCAUGUGGUUUAAUUCGAAGAUACGCGCAGAACCUUACCAACACUUGACAUGUUCGUCGCGACUCUAAGAGAUUAGAGUUUUCGGUUCGGCCGGACGAAACACAGGUGCUGCAUGGCUGUCGUCAGCUCGUGUCGUGAGAUGUUGGGUUAAGUCCCGCAACGAGCGCAACCCUCACUUUUAGUUGCCAUCAUUAAGUUGGGCACUCUGAAAGAACUGCCAGUGAUAAGCUGGAGGAAGGUGGGGAUGACGUCAAGUCCUCAUGGCCCUUACGUGUUGGGCUACACACGUGCUACAAUGGUAUCUACAAUGGGAAGCAAUAGGGUGACCUGGAGCUAAUCCCCAAAGGCCGUCUCAGUUCGGAUUGUUCUCUGCAACUCGAGAACAUGAAGUCGGAAUCGCUAGUAAUCG
RNAcentral lists this ribosomal RNA (429 nucleotides) under uncultured bacterium. Its description in RNAcentral is "bacterial SSU rRNA". It matches the Rfam family "Bacterial small subunit ribosomal RNA", at positions 917 to 1344 of the family's 1533-position model. The record is from RNAcentral.